Molecule: ribosomal RNA, 448 nt
Filed under: uncultured bacterium
Lineage: Bacteria
Description: SSU rRNA
Rfam family: Bacterial small subunit ribosomal RNA
Source: RNAcentral
AGAACGAACGCUGGCGGCAGGCUUAACACAUGCAAGUCGAGCGAGGACUUCGGUCCUAGCGGCGGACGGGUGAGUAACGCGUGGGAACGUGCCCCUUUCUUCGGAAUAGCCUCGGGAAACUGGGAGUAAUGCCGAAUACGUCCCGUAAGGGAGAAAGAUUUAUCGGAGAGGGAUCGGCCCGCGUUGGAUUAGGUAGUUGGUGGGGUAAUGGCCUACCAAGCCGACGAUCCAUAGCUGGUUUGAGAGGAUGAUCAGCCACACUGGGACUGAGACACGGCCCAGACUCCUACGGGAGGCAGCAGUGGGGAAUCUUGGACAAUGGGGGCAACCCUGAUCCAGCCAUGCCGCGUGAGCGAUGAAGGCCUUAGGGUUGUAAAGCUCUUUCAGCGGGGAAGAUAAUGACGGUACCCGCAGAAGAAGCCCCGGCUAACUCCGUGCCAGCAGCCGC